Molecule: transfer RNA, 85 nt
Filed under: Endomicrobiia bacterium
Lineage: Bacteria; Pseudomonadati; Elusimicrobiota; Endomicrobiia
Description: tRNA-Leu
Rfam family: tRNA
About the family: Transfer RNA (tRNA) molecules are approximately 80 nucleotides in length. Their secondary structure includes four short double-helical elements and three loops (D, anti-codon, and T loops).
Source: RNAcentral
UGCGGGCGUGGCGGAAUUGGCAGACGCGUAUGGCUUAGGACCAUAUACCGCAAAGGUGUGGGGGUUCAAAUCCCUCCGUCCGCAU